This is a long non-coding RNA of Strigops habroptila (Kakapo), 584 nucleotides long. RefSeq lists it as uncharacterized. The transcript has 3 exons. The record is from RefSeq and is a predicted model, not a curated record. Lineage: Eukaryota; Metazoa; Chordata; Aves; Psittaciformes; Psittacidae.
UGUGCCUUGCCAGUCACCCUGUGGGUACAGACAGGGUGACUGUGCACAGACAGGGCUUUUCCUCUUUGCUUGCCAGAGGUGAUGCAGCUAACAAGAGCAAGGGACUUGGUGUGUGAAUAAGCAGGAGGCUCUCUGGGUAACUGAAGGAGUUUUCCUCAAGCCAGCGAAGCGAGACUGCGCGCUUUACCCUGUGCUAGCAUUGGACUGUAGCCGCUGAACGGGCCAGGCAGCUGUCACAGGAUCCUUCAACAGCCAGUGGACUCCUCUGGAGACUGCUCGGGAGAAGCUGUUAAGGCAUAAGAAUCACCUCCCCCGCUUAGGGGUCUCAUGAAAUGCUGUAAGAGCCUGAACAGCAUUCAGUCUCAGAAGUAAUGAAAAGGAUAUGUCAUCACAGGUAAUUGCUGCUUCUAAAAGCAUUACAAACCCAGGUAAAAUUUCUUUUGGGUAUUGGAGAGCUGAUGCUUAAUAUGACAGAAGGGCACUUUAAUUGGGCAUUUUCUUCAGUUUGCCAAGCUAUCUGUGGAAGAGCUAUGAUGUGAGCUAUUAAAAAAAAUAAAGGGGCUUUAAAACCAGCACUGAAAGCA